RNAcentral lists this long non-coding RNA (1076 nucleotides) under Marmota monax (woodchuck). Lineage: Eukaryota; Metazoa; Chordata; Mammalia; Rodentia; Sciuridae. The record is from RNAcentral.
AUCAGUUGUCUCCAUAAUAUUCUUUUUUUUUUUGGUGGUGUUAGAGAUUGAACCCAGGGUCUUGUACAUAUGAGGCAAGCACUCUAUCAACUGAGCUAUAUCCCAGCCACCCUCAGCUCUUUUUUAUAUUUUAUUCUGAGACACUGUCUUGCCAAAUUGCUUGGGGCCUUGCUAAGUUGCUGAGGUUGGCUUUGAACUCAUGAACUCAGCCUCCUGAGCCACUGGGAUUACAGAUGUGUGCCACCACGUUCAGCUAGCCUUUGUUUUUCAUCACAUCAUAUUUUUUAAGAAUAUAGACCAAUUUCAUAGGAUUUCCAUUAAUUGUGGUUUGUCUGAGGUUUCCUUAUGCCAAGAUCAAGAUUACAUUUUUGGUAGGAAUACUACACAAAUAAAUGAUGUGUUUUCAUAUCUGUCUUUUUAAUUAUAGUGUUUUAUAUAACCUCUAAAAAAAAAAAAUCAAUUGCUGGAUGUGAUGGCACACGCCUGUAACCCACAACUUGGGAAGCUGAGCCAGGAGAAUCCCAAGUUCAAGGACAGCCUCAGCAAUUUAGCAAGACUCUAAGCAACUCAGCAAGACCCUGUGUCAAAAUAAGAAACAAAAGGGGCUGGGGAUAUAACUCAGCAGUAAAGCACCUCUGAGUUUGAUCCCCAGUACCAAAAAAAAAAAAAAAAAUUUAAAAAAUCACAACUGUGUUUUUGAGUCAUUUAACAGGUUUUGCAAUAAAUUCACCAUUUUGUUUAUCCUCUGAUUUUGUUUAAUUUGACAUUUAACAGUCUCUACCUAAAAGGUUUUAGAUUUUGAAAUAUCAUAUUUUUAGUUCUGGGUGGACACAAUACCUUUAUUUUAUUUUUAUGUGGUGCUAAGGAUCAAACCCAGUGCCUCACACAUGCUAGUUGAGUGCUCUACCACUUGAGCCACAACCCAGCCCUACAAGUGAGUGUUCUUAUUGUGGAUUAGAAGAAUACAGAGGCUCUGAAGAGUUAAAGAAAUGCAAAUUAUCAAAUUAAUAGUUGAUUUUCCCCUUUAUGUACUACUAUAUUGGAUUAAUUAUAGAUUAGUAGAAGUUUAAAAAGCA